GUGUGUGUUCUACGUCGACCAGAAGCUCCCAAAGGAGCCAAACCCUAGCUCAAGCUUAUUUGCUCAAAUUGAAAGGGGAAUUCAACCCAAAUCUAAUGCAUGUACCCGAAUUCUUAGUCAUCUAGCCCUAAAGAUCACUUGAAUAGGAACCACACUAGCAUGGACCAAGCAUGGAAGGCUAACGGGUCAAGAUGAGGCAAGCAAGCGGGUAUGAACACAGAUGCACAAGGUGCGUAUGAUCAGACGUAUGGAUAUAUGAAUGCACGAAGUAGGAUUUAUCGUCUAUGAAAAGAAUGGGACAGGUAUGAAUGUAUACAUGGUUUCAAUACAUUUGAGUAUGGACAUUACUAAUGAUGUGCUUGAGAUGGAAAUGUAAUGCAGGAAUGAGAACGUCAGACUCUUGUAGAAUUGAAGCCAAACCUUGAAGCCGAACUCGGAACAAAGGAAUCCGAGAGGAUAGUCGAAUGAAUCAAAGUUUAUGUUGUCGAAUGUUAUAUGAUUUUUAAUUUGUAUCAGAUUAUUGUUGUAUGACGUUGUCAAUGACUAAUGGUUAAGUUGUAUGUGGCGUCCACAGGUACUACACGGAUUUCUUCUACUGCUAAGGAAGUGAAGCGGACGUAGAUCGAGUCAAGAGCAAGGAUUGUACGGAUAGAUCGGUCACAUAGUUGAAGUAUAUAAUGUCUAGAAAUCUAAAUUUUAGUAUGAAUGUUGUGAAUUCUUUUAUAGAACGUUUAACAUUUUUAGAAUUUGGAACCUUCGUGAAAGUAAUGUCGUUAAUAAGGAAAGAAAUUUUAA
This 795-nucleotide long non-coding RNA is filed under the name Helianthus annuus (common sunflower). RNAcentral's name for it is "hypothetical non coding rna". Lineage: Eukaryota; Viridiplantae; Streptophyta; Magnoliopsida; Asterales; Asteraceae. The record is from RNAcentral.